Molecule: long non-coding RNA, 541 nt
Organism: Gordionus sp. m RMFG-2023
Lineage: Eukaryota; Metazoa; Nematomorpha; Gordioida; Chordodea; Parachordodidae
Exons: 3
Source: RefSeq, a predicted model, not a curated record
GUUUGUGUUUUUUAAAUUUUUUAAAACAAUACAUUUUUUUACAUAUUAAUUUUUAAAUAUUUUAAAUAAAAAUUUGUAUAAUGAAACUUUUGUGUUUGGCAUUAUUAGUGAUCUUAGCAUAUUCUGUUUAUUCGGAAACUACUAGACAUUGGAAACAAAAGGAGUUAAAGUCAUGCAAGGAUGGAUGCAGUGUUACUGAGUGUUGUGCGAAAUCACCAAUGGCUAAUUAUACUACAUCCCCAAGUUAUUGUUUCGCGAAGCAAAAGGAAAAUCAAUUCUGUUCUUUACCUGGAAAUCAGUUAGCAUAUGUGUCUUGUGGUUGUCAGGAUCAUUUAAAAUGUAUUAAACUGUCAGAAUUUUGGGGAAAGUGUCGUAAAUGAGAAGCAACUGUCGACAUUUAAGAUUAAUAGACACUUUUAUGAUAUAUAUUAAUAAUUAUUGUAUAAUAAUAAUAAUUUUAGAGGAUAUCACUAAAUACAUUUAAAAUAUUUAUUUUAAAAUUCAUAAUUCUUAAAUAAUAAAGUUUAAUCAUUCAUUAUAA